GGACCGGUGGGUUGGUCGUGCUUUUGUACGUACUGGCCCUACAGGUUCCUCUCUUCUGAAGAACCAUGAUGCCAUUAAUUUGGUGUUGUGGGGAAUCAGGACUGUUACUUUGAAAAAAUUAGAGUGUUUAAAGCAGGCUAAAGCUUGAAUAGAUUAGCAUGGAAUAAUGAAAUAGGACGUUUGAUCUUAUUUUGUUGGUUUCUAGGAUCGACGUA
RNAcentral lists this ribosomal RNA (215 nucleotides) under uncultured Glomus. Its description in RNAcentral is "partial 18S ribosomal RNA". The stretch from base 46 to 215 matches the Rfam family "Eukaryotic small subunit ribosomal RNA", at positions 693 to 864 of the family's 1831-position model. Lineage: Eukaryota; Fungi; Glomeromycota; Glomeromycetes; Glomerales; Glomeraceae. The record is from RNAcentral.